AUCCUGAGCAGAACUUUAUUUGUUUUAAUUUUGUCAUACAACAAUUAAAGAUCAACACUGUUAGAGGAAGGUGUUUAACAACUGGUUUCAGUUCAGCGGCAAAUGUGUUUGUAACUCAUUGAACAUUUUUGUCAUCAGGACAUCCUAGGAGGAAACUGUGUGCUCAACCCCUCCUUGUAUCCCUGUGUGCUGUGAGAGACUCUCUUUCUAUGAUGUAUCUUGCUAAACAUUUACAUCAUUGCCAUAUUAUUUAUCUAUGUGCCCCCUGCAAUAAAAUUACAGCUACAAACAGUCUCUUAAGGGGGCUACAAAUCAGCUUCAACUUACAUUUUUCAUACAGUAUAGAAUUCAAUAGAAGUCCUCAGUUUAAGGCACUCUAGUAUGUUACAAAACAGCUCAAGGUCAUAACAUUGUUUUUGUAUUCCCAAUAGCAGCACAUAUUGUCAGUAAUUGUUUAUUGGAUGUUUCUCCUUAUUAAAGGAACCAACAUCAAAUCAGUAAAAAAUAUCUUGUUUUCAAAAAUAAAUACAAAUCUAUAUGUGGUCAAGCAAUAGUAGAGUCUAACAUAUAGUGUACUCAGUACAGUAUAAAUUAUAUAUAAUUUACUUCUACUGGCCUGUGGAUCACACACCUUUGCACUUGUCGAGAAAGCAUCCUGUAUAGUAACAGUUGAAGUGUUUCAUGAAGUUAAAAUAUAAUUUUUGUAACCAGUGUAACAGUGAACUGUCAUUGAAGUGCACAUUCUCAGUGUUGAGUUGAGUGGUGUUGCAGACAUUGAACCAGGUAGGCUGCAUCCCUUCAGUUUCUAUAAAACUAGCUUAUUCAGCAUACACUGUUAUUAUAAUGCUGCAUUUCUUAAAACCAAGAUUAAACACAUAAAAUAACAAGACAUUACAUUGUGUAAAUCCACAAACAUGUGCAUAGCAAGACAGUAUAACCGAUAAAAAUCCAAAUCCACAUUUCAAUUGAGACCUUAACAUUUCUAAAAUUGGUAACGUAAUAAUAAAUAAUGUAAUAGACACUCUUUAAAAAUUGCUUUCCUGAAGUAACUGACAUUCCUUCCUGAAAGGCAUAAUGAUGAUAGAUCUACACUGUGCUUUAACUCUCAAACCCCCAAAGCAACCUCUAAACUUUACUGGCUAGCAGGCCAGUUUUUAACUGCUACAGUACCGUCACCAAUACACUAAAUAUGUAGUUGAAGUAAAAUUACUAUAAAUCAAUAAUACUAUUAUUAAUGCCACUACAGUCAAACGUUACGGCUUAAAAGUCAGUCAAUUUUCUUUUCAGUGUUAUAUACAUAUGUGCUGUAAAAAAAUUCAGUCUACUUCGUAUGUAGGAUGAACAUAUCUUUCAUUUUGCACUACACAUCCUUAAAGGUGAAGUGUGCAAUUUCUAUGUCACUAGCGUCGCCAAACGAAAUGCAAAAAUACCUUUUCCUGAACACUUACUCCAGAUGUUAUUGGUUGAACAAACAGAUAGUACCUCCAAAUGCACGCUCUUGGUUUAUCCAGUAUUACUAAUCAGCCUAAGAAUGGCAUAGUUGGGUCUCCUUACUAUGCUGAGGUUACA
Long non-coding RNA from Sinocyclocheilus grahami, 1569 nucleotides. RefSeq lists it as uncharacterized. NCBI's taxonomy places the organism in Eukaryota, Metazoa, Chordata, Actinopteri, Cypriniformes, Cyprinidae. The transcript is spliced from 2 exons. The record is from RefSeq and is a predicted model, not a curated record.